UAUGCAACCUGGCUGUAAGAGGGGAAUAACCCGGAGAAAUCCGGACUAAUACCGCAUAAUACUUAGAAUCCGCAUGGAUUUUAAGUUAAACAUUUAUGGCUUACAGAUGGGCAUGCGUAUGAUUAGCUGGUUGGAGAGGUAACGGCUCCCCAAGGCAACGAUCAUUAGGGGUUCUGAGAGGAAGGUCCCCCACACUGGUACUGAGACACGGACCAGACUCCUACGGGAGGCAGCAGUGAGGAAUAUUGGUCAAUGGACGCAAGUCUGAACCAGCCAAAAGUCGCGUGAAGGAAGAAUGUCCUAUGGAUUGUAAACUUCUUUUGAAGGGGAAUAAAGUACGGUACGUGUACCGUUUUGCAUGUACCCUUCGAAUAAGGAUCGGCUAACUCCGUGCCAGCCGCCGC
RNAcentral lists this ribosomal RNA (404 nucleotides) under uncultured bacterium. Its description in RNAcentral is "bacterial SSU rRNA". It matches the Rfam family "Bacterial small subunit ribosomal RNA", at positions 118 to 518 of the family's 1533-position model. The record is from RNAcentral.